UGGGGAAUUUUGGACAAUGGGCGAAAGCCUGAUCCAGCAAUGCCGCGUGUGUGAAGAAGGCCUUCGGGUUGUAAAGCACUUUUGUCCGGAAAGAAAUCCUUGGCUCUAAUACAGUCGGGGGAUGACGGUACCGGAAGAAUAAGCACCGGCUAACUACGUGCCAGCAGCCGCGGUAAUACGUAGGGUGCAAGCGUUAAUCGGAAUUACUGGGCGUAAAGCGUGCGCAGGCGGUUUGCUAAGACCGAUGUGAAAUCCCCGGGCUCAACCUGGGAACUGCAUUGGUGACUGGCAGGCUAGAGUAUGGCAGAGGGGGGUAGAAUUCCACGUGUAGCAGUGAAAUGCGUAGAGAUGUGGAGGAAUACCGAUGGCGAAGGCAGCCCCCUGGGCCAAUACUGACGCUCAUGCACGAAAGCGUGGGGAGCAAACAGGAUUAGAUACCCCUGGUAGUCCACGCCCUAAACGAUGUCAACUAGUUGUUGGGGAUUCAUUUCCUUAGUAACGUAGCUAACGCGUGAAGUUGACCGCCUGGGGAGUACGGUCGCAAGAUUAAAACUCAAAGGAAUUGAC
RNAcentral lists this ribosomal RNA (567 nucleotides) under uncultured bacterium. Its description in RNAcentral is "partial 16S ribosomal RNA". It matches the Rfam family "Bacterial small subunit ribosomal RNA", at positions 355 to 914 of the family's 1533-position model. The record is from RNAcentral.